UUUAUUGGAGAGUUUGAUCCUGGCUCAGGACGAACGCUGGCGGCGUGCCUAAUACAUGCAAGUCGAGCGGAGUUAAUCGGGAGCUUGCUCCUGAUUGGCUUAGCGGCGGACGGGUGAGUAACACGUAGGCAACCUGCCCGUAAGACUGGGAUAACUACCGGAAACGGUAGCUAAUACCGGAUACGCAAGUUUCUCGCAUGGGAGACUUGGGAAAGGCGGAGCAAU
This 225-nucleotide ribosomal RNA is filed under the name Paenibacillus timonensis. Its description in RNAcentral is "partial 16S ribosomal RNA". It matches the Rfam family "Bacterial small subunit ribosomal RNA", at positions 1 to 211 of the family's 1533-position model. The record is from RNAcentral. Lineage: Bacteria; Bacillati; Bacillota; Bacilli; Caryophanales; Paenibacillaceae.